UUGUUAACCAAGGAAUUCGACCUAAUACUUACACAUAUACCAUACUUAUUGAUGGUUUGUGUGAGGGUAACAGAUUAAACGAUGCAUGGCAGAUUUUCCAACAUCUUUUGGUUAAUGGUCAUCCUUUGGAUGUGCCAGCAUAUAAUGCUAUGAUCAAAGGACUUUGUAAAGAGCAUUUGUAUGAUGAGGCAAAGGCUUUGCUUUAUAAAAUGCAAGAGAAUGGGUGCUCGCCUGAUCUUGUAACUUUUGAAACAAUUAUUAUACCUCUUUUGGAAAAAGGUGAGAAUGAUGAGGCAAAGAAUCUGAUUGAUGAAUUGUUCAUCAAGGUCUCUUGAAAUGAUAAAAGAAGUUGCUUGGUUUCAGGUAUGGAACAGAAAGAGAGCAUGACAAAUCAUUCAAUCGACCGCAUGGCUGACAGAACAAGCAAGAUGCUGAAAGUUCAACUGGUCGAAGAUCUCGUUCAAAGACUGAUUGCAAGGCAAGCAUGCAUGUAAAAAGAAGGCCUGAUGGAAAAUGGGUAGUUCACAGUUUUGUGAAGGGGCAUAAUCAUGAGCUUUUACCAGCUCAAGCUAAAACUAGGCAUGACUAUAUGAACUUUUGUGAUGUGGUUUCUUCUGAUAUAAUCUAUGUUACGAACAAAUAUAAGUUGCCUCUCUUGCGCUUUUGUUGGAGUAAAUCUGCAAUAUCAAUUUUUACUGCUUGGGCGUGCCUUAAUAUCAGAUGAAAGUUGUAACUUGAUCCAGAAUAUCUGUUGUUUACUACGGAUCAUGUUAAGAAAUGGUAGAAGGGUUUGGUGUUAAAAGAUCUUGUAGAGGUGGUUGGUUGUAUUGUAGUUCUGAUUCUUUAGGCUACAUGGUAAGUUGUAAUGAGAGUAUUGUAGUUUGUCAUGAAAAUUUUCAAAUGUUCUUCAUUUUCCAUUA
Neltuma alba is the source of this 920-nucleotide long non-coding RNA. RefSeq lists it as uncharacterized. The transcript is spliced from 2 exons. The record is from RefSeq and is a predicted model, not a curated record. NCBI's taxonomy places the organism in Eukaryota, Viridiplantae, Streptophyta, Magnoliopsida, Fabales, Fabaceae.